This 497-nucleotide ribosomal RNA is filed under the name uncultured bacterium. RNAcentral's name for it is "partial 16S ribosomal RNA". It matches the Rfam family "Bacterial small subunit ribosomal RNA", at positions 28 to 507 of the family's 1533-position model. The record is from RNAcentral.
GACGAACGCUGGCGGCGUGCUUAACACAUGCAAGUCGAACGGUGAAGCGCCUUCCUUUUUGGUGGGUGUGGAUGAGUGGCGAACGGGUGAGUAACACGUGAGUAACCUGCCCCCUUCUUCUGGAUAACCGCAUGAAAGUGUGGCUAAUACGGGAUAUUCUGGGUCUGUCGCAUGAUGGGUCUGGGAAAGAUAUUGUUUCGGUGGGGGAUGGGCUCGCGCCGUAUCAGCUUGUUGGUGGGGUGAUGGCCUACCAAGGCGGCGACGCAUAGCCGACCUGAGAGGGUGAUCGGCCACAAUGGGACUGAGACGCGGUCCAGACGCCUACGGGAGGCAGCAGUAGGGAAUCUUGCGCAAUGGGCGAAAGCCUGACGGAGCAACGCCGCGUGAGUGAGGAAGGUCUUCGGAUCGUAAAACUCUGUUAGUAGGGAAGAACAGAUGGGUAAGUAACUGUGCACAUCUUGACGGUACCUAAUCAGAAAGCCACGGCUAACUACGUG